Molecule: ribosomal RNA, 492 nt
Filed under: uncultured bacterium
Lineage: Bacteria
Description: partial 16S ribosomal RNA
Rfam family: Bacterial small subunit ribosomal RNA
Source: RNAcentral
AGUGAACGCUGGCGGUAGGCCUAACACAUGCAAGUCGAACGGCAGCACAGUAAGAGCUUGCUCUUACGGGUGGCGAGUGGCGGACGGGUGAGGAAUACAUCGGAAUCUACUUUUUCGUGGGGGAUAACGUAGGGAAACUUACGCUAAUACCGCAUACGACCUACGGGUGAAAGCAGUGGAUCUUCGGACCUUGCGCGAUUGAAUGAGCCGAUGUCGGAUUAGCUAGUUGGCGGGGUAAAGGCCCACCAAGGCGACGAUCCGUAGCUAGUCUGAGAGGAUGAUCAGCCACACUGGAACUGAGACACGGUCCAGACUCCUACGGGAGGCAGCAGUGGGGAAUAUUGGACAAAGGGCGCAAGCCUGAUCCAGCCAUACCGCGUGGGUGAAGAAGGCCUUCGGGUUGUAAAGCCCUUUUGUUGGGAAAGAAAAGCAGCAGGUUAAUACCCCGCUGUUCUGACGGUACCCAAAGAAUAAGCACCGGCUAACUUCGUG